GAGUUUGAUCGUGGCUCAGGAUGAACGCUAGCUGGAGGCUUAAUACAUGCAAGUCGAGCGGGAUUGGGUAGCAAUACCCAUGAGAGCGGCGCACGGGUGAGUAACGCGUACACGACCUACCUCUAACAGGGGGAUAGCCCUGGGAAACUGGGAUUAAUACCGCAUAUAAUUCUGAUUAUAAAAGGUUGGAAUGAAAGUUCAGGCGGUUAGAGAUGGGUGUGCGUCUGAUUAGCUAGUUGGUAGGGUAACGGCCUACCAAGGCGAUGAUCAGUAGGGGGCGUGAGAGCGUGGACCCCCACACGGGUACUGAGACACGGACCCGACUCCUACGGGAGGCAGCAGUAAGGAAUAUUGGUCAAUGGGCGCAAGCCUGAACCAGCCAUCCAGCGUGCAGGAAGAAGGCCCUAUGGGUUGUAAACUGCUUUUGUCAGGGAAUAAACCUUGGGAUUAACUCCUGAGCUGAAGGUACCUGAAGAAUAAGCACCGGCUAACUCCGUGCCAGCAGCCG
This 508-nucleotide ribosomal RNA is filed under the name uncultured Haliscomenobacter sp. RNAcentral's name for it is "bacterial SSU rRNA". It matches the Rfam family "Bacterial small subunit ribosomal RNA", at positions 9 to 517 of the family's 1533-position model. The record is from RNAcentral. RNAcentral also lists the same sequence under 1 other name. Lineage: Bacteria; Pseudomonadati; Bacteroidota; Saprospiria; Saprospirales; Haliscomenobacteraceae.